Oryctolagus cuniculus (rabbit) is the source of this 3937-nucleotide non-coding RNA. The record is from RefSeq and is a predicted model, not a curated record. NCBI's taxonomy places the organism in Eukaryota, Metazoa, Chordata, Mammalia, Lagomorpha, Leporidae.
UAUCUUAGUUCCUUUAAUACCUUGAGCUUUCUGAAGUUACACAACAUGUCUAUUUUAUUUGUACCUAUUAAAUGUCCAAAGAGUAGGUAUUUAAAAAGUUCCAUUGAAUAAGUAGACUUCACAAACAGGUUGUCCCUGUUGGCAAUUAAAUUCCAAACGUAGAACAUUCCAGGCAGAUCAUCUUUUUUUAAAAAAUAAUUAUUUAUUUAUUUGAAAGGCAGAGAGAAAGAGGGACAUUUCUUCCAUUCACUGGUUCACUAUGCAAGUGGCUGCAACAGCUAGCUCUUAGGGCCAGGAGCCACAAAUGCCGUUUUGGUCUUCCAUGUAGGCGGCAAGGGCCUAAGUACUUGAGCAAUCUUCUACUCCCAAUGUAUAUUAGGGGAAGCUUUCUUUCUUUCUUUCUUUCUUUCUUUCUUUCUUUCUUUUUAAAGAUUUAUUUAUUUGAAAGAAUUACAGAGCAAGGUAGAGACACAGAGAGAGGUCUUCUAUCCGCUGGUUUGCUCCCCAGAUGGCCGCAAUGGCUGGAGCUGCGCCGAUCUGAAGCCAGGAGCCAGAAGCUUCUUCUGGGUCUCCCAUGUGGGUGCAGAGGCCCAAGCACUUGGGGCCAUCUUCCACUAUUCCAGGCCACAGCAGAGAGCUGGAUUGGAAGAGGAGCAGCUGGGACUAGAACCUGUGCCCACAUGGGAUGCCAGCGCUGCAGGCCAGGGCUUUAACCUAACGCUGUGCCACAGUGCCGCCAGCCAGGGGCAGCUUUAUUUAAAAAAAAAAAAAUUGCUUAUUUAUUUGAAAGGCAGAGUGACACAGAGAGAGGGAAAUACAGAGACAGAGAUAUCUUUCAUCCACUGGUUUACUACCCAAGUAGCCACACAGCCAUGUCUGGGCCAGGCUGAAGACAUGAGCUGGCAACUCCAUCCUGGUCUCCUAAAUGAGUGGAAAGGGCUCAAACACUUGGGCCAUCUUCUACUGCCUUCUCAGGCACAUUAGCAGGAAGCUGGAUUGGAAACUGAGUAGCUGGGACUUGAGCCAGCACUCUACUAUGGAAUGCAGAGGUCCCAAGCUACAGCUUAACCUGCUGUAUAGUACAAGGCCAGCUGCAAAUAAUUUUUUUUCUGGUAUAUCCACUCAAGCAAAGCACUAUUUUGAUGACCCCAUGACAGAAAGUGAAAUCAUUAGAAAUGAAAUCACUUUCACUGGAUCCUCCCUUGCUCUUACACAUUUGUGUGUACUCCCAAGCAAGAUUUUUGUUCCCUCAUUUACAAGUCUCAGCCUCUUUCACUGAAAACUUAAGGAAUAUGGUACAAAAGUAGGUGAUGAUUGUAUAAGUCAACUGUUGUGCCUGGGAUAGCCCUAUUUUUUUUUUUAAUUUUUUUUUUUUGACAGGCAGAGUGGACAGUGAGAGAGAGAGACAGAGAGAGAAAGGUCUUCCUUUGCCGUUGGUUCACCCUCCAAUGGCCGCCGCUGCAGCCGGCGCACCGCGCUGAUCCGAUGGCAGGAGCCAGGAUCCAGGUGCUUUUCCUGGUCUCCCAUGGGGUGCAGGGCCCAAGCACCUGGGCCAUCCUCCACUGUACUCCCUGGCCAUAGCAGAGAGCUGGCCUGGAAGAGGGGCAACCGGGGCAGAAUCCGGCACCCCGACCGGGACUAGAACCCGGUGUGCCGGCGCCGCAAGGUGGAGGAUUAGCCUAUUGAGCCACGGCGCCGGCUCGGAUAGCCCUAUUUUUAUGCUUGUUCCCUCUCCAUGAUUGAUAGGGCCCUCUCUUCCCCUCUUUAAAUGUCCUGGUUUGCCAAGAAGGUCACCCUAUGUGUUAUACCUAAUCUUUCUCUUCUCAUCCUGUAAUUCCCCAUUUCCAUGUUAAAUCCAGGAAAUUGUGGCCUCCAGUCUAAAAUUUGGCAAGAUAAGAGUAACAUGGUAAAAUAAAUUUUGUUUAAAGGUUUGCUUCUACUAGGAAAAUAACCUAUUGCUACUAGGAAAAUAACCUAAGGUUAGAUCCUAAUACAAGAAGUAGAUCAAUGUUUAAACACACAAAUAUUUAAGACAUUUAACAUUUUUCUGAUUUAUAAUGAUAAAAGACACAUGGAAACAUGUUCAAAUUAGGUAAUGAAUUGAGGAAAACAGUGAGUGCCUACCAUAUGCCAGGUUGUCAUUAAUCACUUUCAUGAGGCUUACUUAAUCAUUUCAGUCUUUCUAUGAUGGGUUGGCAAACUUUUAAGAGUCAUGUGGUAAAUAUCUUAGAUUUUGUGGUCCAAGAGGCAAAAUUCAUGGUUCCUAUGCAGAUAUGUAUAAACAAGAGGGAGGAAAAAAGUAACCAUAAAAUUCAUGCUGAUGAAAUUCAAAAUAUAAUAAUUGAAUACAAAUUUUUGUAAUGCUAAGGAAAAAACAGAAUUGUUUUUGGUGGGAAAGACAGCAUUCUUCUCGACUGGAACUCAAAGUUAAGUGUUCUUUACCAAAAUCAAUAACAAAUGCUUAUCUGUUAAUGCUGGUUUCUAAUGAUAUUUUAUGUGUUUUAUCUUUGAAAAUAUCUUUUCAUACAGAUAGAUACUGCCAAAUACUGAUAUGAAUCCCCAACUAUAUGGUUUUAAUUCAACAUAUUCAUCACUGGGAAGGCUUUUACACAAUUUCAUUAGAUUCUUCUCUGAACAUUUGCCUUUAAGCACAUCAUUACAUUGCAGAUUAAUUGAUUCCAAUUGAAGUUUAGGUGGAAGCUCUUCAAUUGCACAAUCAAAUGGAUUUUGAAAUGUGAAAAAUAUCUUUGUAUUUACAUUUAGAUCCAGAAAGCCUUGCUAGAACUCUAUUUUGAAUUCGAACAGCUCAAAUAUAUCUACUGCAAAUUUGUGGAUGUAUGGAGAUCUUGCUUCUAGUUUUAGCAAGUAUAUAAAACAGCUUGAGAUUGUUUGUGAUUCAAACAAGGCACAUUAAAAGGAACCUGCAUCAGAAAUGGAGCAGCCGGACUUGAACCAUUGAGCAUAAGGAUGCAGGGGUAGCUCACAAGCUUCAUACCUGCUGGAACAGCUACUAUUGCUUUUGAAACACCUGUCACCGAACAUUCCAUCUCCCGCUAUGAUGGUUCCAUGGUGUGUCUUUGAAUGUUCCAUUAUAACCAAGUUACACUUGGCUCCAGAGGGGGAGACAGCACUCCAACUACCCUCACAAGAAUGAAAUGGUAUGGAACAGAGUAAUGAGCAAUAGAAAUAUGGAACCAAGAAGCAAUUAUAUCUUCAAAAGAGCAAAAUGAGAGCAAAUAAAAGGCCUUGCACAAGUUAGCAUACAAACAGGCCGAUCAGAAAAUCAUUUACAGAGUCCAAAUACAUGCCUUUUAGUUGUGUCUGUAAAUUAUCUCCCACAAACAUCAUGUUGUACUACUGGAGACUCAUUUCUAGAUGAUAAUAAAAAUUGGAUUUCUCAAAAGACCCUAAAACAUAUCAAAUUCAAUUUCACCAACACUGAGUGCCCCUAAUCUGGAGCCAUUGUGCUGAGCUCUGAGGCAGUAACAUAAAGAGGGCAUAGUGUCUACCCUUACAGUGCUUACAGUCUAGUUAAGACAGAGCUAUUCACAAAUAACUAUAAUAUCAUGUGUGUUGAGUAACAUAUAUGAUGGUGCAUUUGCAAGGAGGUAGGCAGAACUGAAACCAUGCAGGACAAGAAAAGCUGGAACCAUGUAGAAUGUGUUGAACAGGGCAUUCCAUGGGAAAAGUCAGUGGAUAGGAACCAGAAUCCAGCUCCCUAUCUGCAGCCCGGGACUAAGCAAGGAGGCUAAGCUAGUGCUAACUAAAUUUUCAGAACCUGUGUGCUUGGAAUGACAGGAAGCAGAGACUCUUACAUUUAAAGAGGCCCUAGAGCUAUGUCAUCCCCAAUGGCCUUGCAUAAUUGAGCAAAAUGCCCCAGAGCGUCUAUGAAGACUAGCUAGAGCUGUGCAUCGCAGAGGACCAGGCUGAGACAAUA